Molecule: ribosomal RNA, 432 nt
Filed under: Clostridioides difficile
Lineage: Bacteria; Bacillati; Bacillota; Clostridia; Peptostreptococcales; Peptostreptococcaceae
Description: bacterial LSU rRNA
Rfam family: Bacterial large subunit ribosomal RNA
Source: RNAcentral
UGGUCAAGUUAUUAAGGGUGCAGGGCGGAUGCCUUGGCACUAGGAGCCGAUGAAGGACGUGAUAAGCUGCGAUAAGCUUCGGGGAGUUGCACGUAAACUUUGAUCCGAAGAUUUCCGAAUGAGGAAACUCACUUAGAGUAAUGUCUAAGUAUCAUUAAGUGAAUACAUAGCUUAAUGAGGGGAACUCAGGGAACUGAAACAUCUAAGUACCUGAAGGAAGAGAAAGAAAUUCGAUUCCGUAAGUAGCGGCGAGCGAACGCGGAGUAGCCCAAACCAAUAAAGUUUUCUUUAUUGGGGUUGCGGACAUAUCAUAACGAAGAGGUAUCGUAAUUGAAGAGGUUUGGAAAGACCCACCACAGAAGGUAAUAGUCCUGUAUGUUAAACGAGAAGACUUUAGAUAUGAUCCAGAGUACCACGGGACACGUGAAACCC